AGAGUUUGAUCCUGGCUCAGAUUGAACGCUGGCGGCAGGCUUAACACAUGCAAGUCGAGCGGAGAUGAGGUGCUUGCACCUUAUCUUAGCGGCGGACGGGUGAGUAAUGCUUAGGAAUCUGCCAUUUAGUGGGGGACAACAUUCCGAAAGGAAUGCUAAUACCGCAUACGUCCUACGGGAGAAAGCAGGGGAUCUUCGGACCUUGCGCUAAAUGAUGAGCCUAAGUCGGAUUAGCUAGUUGGUGGGGUAAAGGCCUACCAAGGCGACGAUCUGUAGCGGGUCUGAGAGGAUGAUCCGCCACACUGGGACUGAGACACGGCCCAGACUCCUACGGGAGGCAGCAGUGGGGAAUAUUGGACAAUGGGCGGAAGCCUGAUCCAGCCAUGCCGCGUGUGUGAAGAAGGCCUUUUGGUUGUAAAGCACUUUAAGCGAGGAGGAGGCUACUAGUACUAAUACUACUGGAUAGUGGACGUACUCGCAGAAUA
RNAcentral lists this ribosomal RNA (485 nucleotides) under Acinetobacter sp. AKB-2008-4300B. RNAcentral describes it as "bacterial SSU rRNA". It matches the Rfam family "Bacterial small subunit ribosomal RNA", at positions 8 to 488 of the family's 1533-position model. Lineage: Bacteria; Pseudomonadati; Pseudomonadota; Gammaproteobacteria; Moraxellales; Moraxellaceae. The record is from RNAcentral. RNAcentral also lists the same sequence under 1 other name.